UACGUAGGGGGCUAGCGUUGCUCGGAAUUACUGGGCGUAAAGCGCACGUAGGCGGAUUGUUAAGUCGGGGGUGAAAUCCUGGAGCUCAACUCCAGAACUGCCUUCGAAACUGGCGAUCUUGAGUUCGGGAGAGGUGAGUGGAACUGCGAGUGUAGAGGUGAAAUUCGUAGAUAUUCGCAAGAACACCAGUGGCGAAGGCGGCUCACUGGCCCGAUACUGACGCUGAGGUGCGAAAGCGUGGGGAGCAAACAGG
Molecule: ribosomal RNA, 253 nt
Filed under: uncultured bacterium
Lineage: Bacteria
Description: partial 16S ribosomal RNA
Rfam family: Bacterial small subunit ribosomal RNA
Source: RNAcentral